UGGGGAAUCUUGCACAAUGGAGGAAACUCUGAUGCAGCGACGCCGCGUGAGCGAAGAAGCCUUUCGGGGUGUAAAGCUCUUACGCCAGGGACGAUAAUGACGGUACCUGAGAAGCAGCUGCGGCUAACUACGUGCCAGCAGCCGCGGUAAUACGUAGGCAGCAAGCGUUGUUCGGAAUUACUGGGCGUAAAGGGUGCGUAGGCGGCGCUCUAAGUUUGGUGUGAAAUCUCCCGGCUUAACUGGGAGGGUGCACUGAAAACUGGGGCGCUCGAGUAUGGGAGAGGACAGCGGAAUUCCUGGUGUAGCGGUGAAAUGCGUAGAGAUCAGGAGGAACACCUGCGGUGCAGACGGCUUUCUGGACCAUCACUGACGCUGAGGCACGAAAGCGUGGGUAGCAAACA
This 401-nucleotide ribosomal RNA is filed under the name uncultured bacterium. Its description in RNAcentral is "bacterial SSU rRNA". It matches the Rfam family "Bacterial small subunit ribosomal RNA", at positions 355 to 774 of the family's 1533-position model. The record is from RNAcentral.